AUGCCUGCGGUGACGUGGAGGAAUCUUACAGGGACAAAGCCCUCACGUUGUCACUCCCAGGAGAGCAGUGCUCUGAGGAGGCAGCAGCUCUCUCACGAGGCAGCAGCUUCUCUGGAGGAAGCAGCUCUCUGGGUGCCCUUGGCCAGUGUUCGUCAGAGCACUGCCAAGAUGUCAGAUAGGCAGGAGGUGAACGCCCAAUGCAAAUCCCGUGAGGGGCAGCCGUUGCUGUCCAAGCGGCAACAGGUGCCUCAGAGGCCGCCGCAGGCAGCAGCAGAGGUCACAUGGGUGACCAUCGUGCCCCUCCACGGGGACAGACAGGUCCAGAGACAGGACACCUCAUCCCGACCCACAGGACGGGGAUCACAGGAGGAAAUCCUGGAGGGCCGGUAUUUGCUGCCCCACAGCGGCACAGUCACACAGUCACCAAGAUUGUCUGUGUCAGACUUGCCGCCUCUCCAUGGCCCUCCAUUGCCAGUGACACCUCCAUGCCGAGAGCCAAAGCCAAGAGCAGCCUCGGCAAGGGUCAAGCUGCCCCCUCUGCCAGCAGCCCCAGCAGCCUCUGGGGCUUAUCCCAGAGGCAGAGCAUGGUCCAUGGGCCCUGUGGCCAGCAGCUACCGAGAGCUUGUGCCACCUUCUCUGUGGGGCACUGUGGCUGCUCACAGGGCCCAGGGAACACCUUCGCCAGACAGCUCAGCUGAAAGGCUCUGGCGAGGGUCAGCGGCAAGGCAGGGCCCAACAGGGACCCAGCCUGCCUGGAAACACUUGGGGCACAGCAAGACGGAGGAGCUUGCUGAGGUGCAGGAAGAGCACAGUGUCAAAUCAUCCCGAGACUUGUUUAGAGGCCUUGCCCUGUGCCUGUGUAAAGACACAUCUGUUGUGUCCAGCUGCAUACAGGAGCAGUCAAGUGUCCUCCAAGAGGUGGAUCCACAGCCCCAGGUGCUGGCCAGCACACUUAGCUUGACUGAAGGCUCCAUGGGAGAGAUGGGAAACUCCUCGGACCUUCUGUCCCCUGGCCCAGUUGCAGAGCUCUUCUCUGGCUCAGACAACUUGCAGCUCAAGGACACUUUGGUAAAGGAGCCAGAGGAGAUGUGGGAAGAGGAAGAGCUCCCAGACACAGAGACUUCAGGGGAUAGGGACAGCGACCCAUGGAGCAUGACACUUCCCCCAUUGAAAGUGAAAAAGGCAGAAGCAGCAGCUUCUGGGUGCCCUUGGCCAGUGAGAGAGCCCUGGGAUGAGGGACCCAGUGAUCUUUUCCCCACCUCAGAGCCUGAGGAAACCUCACGCUUCUCAGCUUCGCCUUCAUCUGAAGGCUACGGUGAGGAGAGGGGAAUUCAUCAGUCAGCAGAGCACAGCACCCACAGCAAGCUGCUGUGCACGAAGACUGAGGAUGUUUCGAAGCACCUUCUGCAUAUCGAGGCAGAGGAGCUGGAGAAGUUGGAGGAAGACAUCCUCUCCUCCUUGGAUCAAGAAAGCUCCUCGGUGCCUCACAGCCUUUGCGGCUGGAGCAAAGACUGCGCAGGAGAGACCGAAAACUACGCACAGCUCAUGCCCCCUGACCUGUUUGCAGAGCUGUGGUCUCUCUUUAACAACAGGGACGUGCCAUCCUGGGGCACUCGUUCAGAUGACUUACUGGGAAAGUGGGAAGAAGAAGAGGUCCCUGACAGAGAUGCUGCAGGAGAGGGGGACAGUGAGCCAGAGAGUGCAUUGUGUCCCCCCCUGCAAGACAAAGAAGCAGGGCCAGCAGCUUCUCCCCUGGGCAGUGAUGCCUUUGAUGAGGGGCAUAUCCAGCUUCUCCUGAUGGCACCACCUGAAGAGGCAAAGAUGUUGGCUUGCGUCUUGCCUGCCAAUGCCAUGGAGGAGGCCAAUGCAGCAUGCAUGGAUGCUGUCUGUUCCCAGGACAGACUUGCCCAGGAAAAUGCCUGUGGGGCUGGGGAGACAGCAGAGCCUUGCCCAGUGCCUGCCCAGCCCCUGGCAUGCAGUGUUCCUUCCUCCCCCACUGACAUGACCUCUGUCCCACAGCCUCCGGCCCCACAGCGAUGGCGCUCCAUCAUCAGGACGGCCCGGCGGGCACUGAGACGGCUUUUCUCCUUCAGCUGCCUCAGGGGGCAGCGAGAGGAGUGAGCCCAGAGCCAGCACCAGGGAAAUCCCAAGAGAUGGCCGCUCACCCUCACACAGCUCCCAGGGGGAACCGCAGCUCCCAGAGGCAGCGGCACAGGGAGGCAUCCUCCUUUCCUAUGGCAAGUGGGAAAUUUCCUCCCUGGAUCCCCACAAUAUGGACUGGAGAAAAGGGCUUACCCCAGAAGAGUGAUCUGCCACCUCUGCCUCCAAAAGAGUCACUAGGACUGUUCACCAUCAGAAAGUGUGGGGUGACGAAGGACUGAUGGCUCUGGAACCAAGUUAAUGUCUGUCUUCUGCUUGAUGCCGCUAUUCCUUCCCUCUCCUACACCCAAUGUUCUUUCCCACUCUCUCUUUUUCAUUGUUCUCUUUUCUAUUCCUUUCUAUCUCUCUACUUCACAUUUAUUGUUAAGUAAAAUCACAUUUGUUGACUUUUAUAGAUGGUCUCGUUGGCACUUUAAUUUGCGCAGAGGCAUCUCUCACUAAUUGCGACUUAACAGGGACACACAUCUGCACACAGCACUUGAGGUGUGGUCUCCCCAGAGCCCAGCACAGAGGGACAGUCACUGCCCUGGCCCUGUUGGUCACACUAGUGCUGACACAGAAGGCCAGGAUGCAACUGGCCUUUUUGCCCAGCUGGGUACUUGGUGGCUCAUGUUCUUUUCUAGCCACUCUGGAACACUGUUCAUUCCCAGCCUGGCACACCACAGCGUCUUGUCAUAACCCUAGGACAGGAUCCAGAUUUUUUUUCUUAUUGAACCCCAUUCUCCUGGCCUGGCACCACUGAUCUAUCCUGUCCACAUCCUCUGCAGAGCCCUGCUACUUUCCAGCACUUCAACAUUCCCACUCACCUCGGUGCCAACUGUGAACUCACUGAGGGUGUUGUCAAUCACCUCAUCUGGAUAAAGUAUUAAUCAGGACUGGAACCAGUACUGAGACCUAAGCCCCAGUAGUGAUUGUUUGCCCUCUGGAUUUAACUCCAUUCACCACCACUCUAUGGCCCAGC
This 3121-nucleotide long non-coding RNA is filed under the name Cyanistes caeruleus (blue tit). RNAcentral's name for it is "lncRNA (ENSCCEG00000012564.1)". Lineage: Eukaryota; Metazoa; Chordata; Aves; Passeriformes; Paridae. The record is from RNAcentral.